This 253-nucleotide unclassified non-coding RNA is filed under the name uncultured Nocardioidaceae bacterium. Its description in RNAcentral is "contains 16S-23S intergenic spacer region". It matches the Rfam family "Bacterial small subunit ribosomal RNA", at positions 524 to 776 of the family's 1533-position model. Lineage: Bacteria; Bacillati; Actinomycetota; Actinomycetes; Propionibacteriales; Nocardioidaceae. The record is from RNAcentral.
UACGUAGGGUGCGAGCGUUGUCCGGAAUUAUUGGGCGUAAAGGGCUCGUAGGCGGUUUGUCGCGUCAGGAGUGAAAACUCGGGGCUUAACCCCGAGCCUGCUUCUGAUACGGGCAGACUAGAGGUAUGCAGGGGAGAACGGAAUUCCUGGUGUAGCGGUGAAAUGCGCAGAUAUCAGGAGGAACACCGGUGGCGAAGGCGGUUCUCUGGGCAUUACCUGACGCUGAGGUGCGAAAGCGUGGGGAGCAAACAGG